RNAcentral lists this ribosomal RNA (252 nucleotides) under uncultured bacterium. RNAcentral describes it as "partial 16S ribosomal RNA". It matches the Rfam family "Bacterial small subunit ribosomal RNA", at positions 524 to 776 of the family's 1533-position model. The record is from RNAcentral.
UACGGGGGGGCAAGCGUUGUUCGGAAUUACUGGGCGUAAAGGGCGCGUAGGCGGCGCGGUAAGUCACUUGUGAAACCUCUGAGCUUAACUCAGAACGGCCAAGUGAUACUGCAGUGCUAGAGUGUGGAAGGGGCAAUCGGAAUUCUUGGUGUAGCGGUGAAAUGCGUAGAUAUCAAGAGGAACACCUGCGGCGAAGGCGGGUUGCUGGGCUGACACUGACGCUGAUGUGCGAAAGCUAGGGGAGCGAACGGG